GAAUGAGGAAAGUGUGUCCAGCAGGCUAAGAUAAAAGAUGCUGCCAGACUUGCUGAAUUUCUCCAGCACUUUGUUUAUAUUACCAUUUAAUCCCGAACUGUCACCAGGAUCACUUAAUAACUAACUGCUCAGAGAAGCAAAAGAUUCCUAUUUCAAGAUGAGAAUGUAUUCACAGACAGUGCUGGAGGCAAAACAUCAGCACUGAGGAAGUGGACGGGACAUUGUCUCCCUGCUCAAGUGGAUAUAGAUGAUCCUGUGGCGCUACUUUUGAGUCCAAUCAUUUGUCGCCAAGUCAACAUCACGGUGAGAAAAAAAAACAUUAUCUAGUCAUUAUCACGUUGCCGAUUGUGGGAGUUUGUUAUAGACACCUUAGAUAUCACUACCCUGUGGAACAGUUACUAUACUCCAAAAAUAUUUUGUUGUUUGCAAGAUGCUUUAAGAGGGCUGUUGGUCUACAAUGAAAGUAUGCAGGGCACUUGUGGUGCAGUGGUAGUGUCCAAACCUCUGGAUAAGCGAGCCUGGAUUCAAAUCUCUAGAAAUGUGUAGUAGUGUAUCUGUGCAGGGUAAUUUUAAAAAAAUCUAUAAUGCAAGUUGAUUUUUUAAAAUUAAAACACUGAAUUAUAAUUUCUGGUUCUA
Molecule: non-coding RNA, 636 nt
Organism: Chiloscyllium plagiosum (whitespotted bambooshark)
Lineage: Eukaryota; Metazoa; Chordata; Chondrichthyes; Orectolobiformes; Hemiscylliidae
Source: RefSeq, a predicted model, not a curated record